AAAAAACAUAAAGUACGUUGUAUGGCUGAAUCACCAUCGGUUUUGAACAAUGGUCAAAGGGAAUUAGACGCAAGUCCCUUUGAGCCGUCAGUAGCUUUAACAGGUAACAUAUAUUGAUGAAGAUCACUUAUAUUUUGUAGAAAUACCUACUUGAACCAAGAUAACUUGGGCGUUUGAUGUAUAUUUUUAGCUUCUGAGAGAUUGAUCUUAAAAGAAAUAAAAAAGUUGAAUUGGGAAAUACAGGAUAUGAAAAAAACAGUAAACAAGAUUCAGGACCUGUUGCUCACAAUUAGCAUGAUUAAUAUUAAGUUCUAGUGAAGAACCUUUUCAACUACCAAUUGAGAACCACGCUUUACUAGAAUCUAUAGAGCAGCAUUUAGAAGAUGAAAAAAAUAUUGAACUUUUGGCUCAACGAUUAUACCUUUGUGGAGGGGACAAUACCCACAAAUCUGUUUUUUUAUUAAUGAAAAAUGUUUGCCAGAGAUGUAGUAAUGCUCUAUUCUGGAUCAGGAAAGAAGGGAAAAUUAUCAUUUCAGAAGUUGUCAUGCGCCACGGAUGCAGGUAUUAACAAAUCCAUAUCUUUGUAUUUGACAGGAGCAGCA
RNAcentral lists this long non-coding RNA (602 nucleotides) under Sitophilus oryzae (rice weevil). Its description in RNAcentral is "uncharacterized LOC115884363, transcript variant X2". The record is from RNAcentral. Lineage: Eukaryota; Metazoa; Arthropoda; Insecta; Coleoptera; Curculionidae.